GACGAACGCUGGCGGCGUGCUUAAUACAUGCAAGUCGAACGGAAAGGCGCGGCUUUUGUUGGGCGCUCGAGAGGCGAACGGGUGAGUAACACGCGAGUAACCUGCCCUUGACUGUGGGAUAUCUCCAGGAAACUGGGGCGAAUACCGGAUAGGAGCUCCUGCUGCAUGGUGGGGGUUGGAAAGAGUGGGCGGUUGGGGAUGGACUCGCGGCUUAUCAGCUUGUUGGUGGGGUAGUGGCUUACCAAGGCUUUGACGGAUAGCCGGCCUGAGAGGGUGACCGGGCACAUGAGGACUGAGGUACGGCGCAGUAUCGUACGGGCGGCAGCGGUGGAGAGUCUUACGCAGUAAGGGGGAGCCUGAUGCGGCGGCGCCGGGUGCGGGAUGCCCGCCUUCGAGUUGUAAACCACUUUCGCCGUUGACGAGGCGGGAGUGACGGUAAUGGGUAAAGAAGCACCGGCUAACUACGUG
This 468-nucleotide ribosomal RNA is filed under the name uncultured bacterium. RNAcentral describes it as "partial 16S ribosomal RNA". It matches the Rfam family "Bacterial small subunit ribosomal RNA", at positions 28 to 507 of the family's 1533-position model. The record is from RNAcentral.